This 905-nucleotide long non-coding RNA is filed under the name Anas platyrhynchos platyrhynchos (common mallard). Its description in RNAcentral is "lncRNA (ENSAPLG00000029575.1)". The record is from RNAcentral. Lineage: Eukaryota; Metazoa; Chordata; Aves; Anseriformes; Anatidae.
GAAACUUUUGGCAUACCAUCUGUAGGGUGUCAGGAAUGGUUCAGGGCCCAGACUUAGAAAUAUGGACCAAGAUUUAUGAGGUUAAUGAUGUUCAGGGGAAACAGGCUGGUUUUUAAACAGAGAGCUCCUAACAAGCCUUGCAAGUACAUUCUCCAAUAGAAGGACUCAUGGUACACUGCCUGGGUUUAUCCACAUGCCACUUUCUUCUUUCCUUUACCUCAUGAGUAUGGUUGCAUCCUUAAUGUAUCUCUUUUGUCGUUUGCCCAGGUUCUCUGAGAUCUGACAGGAAUUACAUGGGAGAACUGGGAGCUGUAUUGUCAAGGCAAUGCAAUGUCCCUUCAGGUAGAUACUGGUAUCUGAAACUGCUGACCCUGCUUGAGUUGAGAAAGGUCAUUCACUGACCUCUAAAAUGGAAGGCCCCAUGAAAUGUCCAUCCAGGCUAGAAGCACAGAUAACACCCAGAACUCUCUCAGAUGACAUUCAUCUUCAUCUGGCAUGGACAUAAAUUAAUGGGUGGUAAGGAAGCUGAAACAGAGACCAGUACAAGACCUGGCAUGUAAAUCACCCAAGGUUGUGCUCUCCUCAUGCUUCGAGACGUAGCAUGAUCCAAUGCAAUGAUCAUGCUGGAUGUGAAGAACACUUAAUGUCUUUUAAUUAGGUUUUGAAGUAAUGCAUGCCAACACCCUGUAACUACUUCAGCCUUGACUCAUUCGUGAAGAUGCAUGCCAUAUGUAAGAGACCAACAUAAAAAGGAUGACCCCAAAACUAACACAUUUCACUGUUGACGUAUGCUUCUUUUUCAGACUGUGAAGCUCAGCUGACAUGCUCAAUGCCUGCCUGCAUGACACAGGCUGUCAUUAUUCAUUAUGGACUUGGUCUCAGUACUGUGACUCCAGGAAGCAAGU